This is a long non-coding RNA of Neogale vison (American mink), 583 nucleotides long. RefSeq lists it as uncharacterized. The transcript is spliced from 5 exons. NCBI's taxonomy places the organism in Eukaryota, Metazoa, Chordata, Mammalia, Carnivora, Mustelidae. The record is from RefSeq and is a predicted model, not a curated record.
GGAAGAAGCCGCGUGCUGAGAGCUCUUUGCUUUGGUUUCUUCUCUUGGUGUUGCAACUUUCGUCUGUUUUACCAAAACAUUUUCUUGUCUGUUCUGCAGAUCGGUACAGGUGUGGGAGUGUUUCCUCAUUGCCCAGGGCCCCUCCGUCUGCCCUACCACAUGGGGCAGAAUAUACCAGGCUUUCCUCCUCCUCCUCCAGCUCCACACUGGGGUCCUGGGGGCCUCGGCCCCAUCGCGUUUCUCCACCACACGGGCUUCCUUCCCAUUCAAAAGCCUGUGGAGCUCAAGGGGACAAUAGCAGCACCAUGCCCAAGAAGGUCCCAGAGGAGAACCAAAAUGAGCAAAUCAUCAAACGAGAGUCACAACCAUACCUUCCACCAUCUUGGAUAGAUCUCCUGUUGUUUGCUUCUUUUGCAGUCCAAUGAUAUCAGCUAGAAAAUUAGAUGAUGGUGGUGGCAAGCGGAAUUUCUGAAUAACAGAAUGAAUGAAACAUGAUUCAUGCUCUCCAGAUCAUUCUACUAAGAGAAAAGAAAUACAGAAUGGAGAGAGAUUACAAGUAGGCAGAGAGGCAGGCAGAGAGAGA